AACGCAUCUUGCACCCCUUGGUAUUCCGAGGGGUACAUCUGUUUGAGUGUCAUGAAAUUCUCAGCUCUUACAUUUGUGUUACACGUUGAUGAGAUGUGUAGCAAUCGUACAAAUGUAAAUAUGCUGGUCCUUGAGUGCUGCUGUUUGUAUACAGCUCACUUCAAAUACAUCAGCAAUCUGGGGAAUUCGGAUUAACUCAAUGUGAUAAUAUCUUCAUUGAGGAUGCUUGUAGCAGCCGAAUUACAACUAAUGCUUCUAAUUUGUUUAAUCAAUUUUAAAUUAGACCUCAAAUCAGAUGGGACUACCCGCUGAACUUAA
This 318-nucleotide unclassified non-coding RNA is filed under the name uncultured fungus. RNAcentral's name for it is "sequence contains ITS2". The stretch from base 1 to 52 matches the Rfam family "5.8S ribosomal RNA", at positions 103 to 154 of the family's 154-position model. The record is from RNAcentral. Lineage: Eukaryota; Fungi.